UUUAAUUGACUCCGACACAAGAAUUUUAACCUGUCGUCAAUAUUCAAUGACAGCCACUCGUUGUCCUUGAAUAUCAUUCGCAUAUAUGAUUGGUUGUUUAAGAUUUGCUUCGACAUCGGUAUAUAAAGCAACAACUUUUGAAAAUUCCCGUCACUCUUGGUGGAACUUUGGAAUAAGUUAACUCCUCUUCUUUCUGACCAGUUAUGUUGAAACAUUUUGGGACUUGCCUGACAGCUUGCAGUUACUCAAAGUGGAACGUUAUGCAAAGAAAAAGCGUGUUAGAUGGAGGAGUGUUUUGGCAGAGAAGCUGAGGAGCCAUCUUUGAGUAUACACAGCUAUUCAUGCCCUGAGAAUGGAACGAAAUAUGUCUCUUAGUGAAGGUAAUAUUUGUUUGAUACAAAACGGCAUUUUUGGAUUCAGGAGUUCCUGUAAUUGGUAUAUGUCCCAGACCUUGUUAUGAUCAUAUCUGCGUUUUAGUUUGCAUUCAACUAUGCGGUUAAACUUGUGAAUUUUUCUCAAAACAUGUACAGUUUGGUAUAGCUUCCAGACUGUGUUCUUAACUAACGCUCUCAUUAGCGACUACUUCGAUCAUAUUGGAUCUCCGCUAACUUUUACAGUUCAGUUGAUUUAUAGAUAUGGUUUUGAUAUUUUGACAUUCUCUGUUUGUUUUCUUACUCACUGUGACAAUGAGCGUCUAUUACUAGUGUGAAAUUAUGCAUCGAACAUCUUCUUUAGUUUAGUUUUUCUUUUUACUGUAAACUAGUAAAAGAUUACUAUAACAUGAUUGAGAACCAACUUAGCAUAUCUUCUACGUUUUCUGAGUAGUGUAUUUAUUAUUUUCAGUUAGCUUGGGGCAAUAAUAAUCUCAAACAUUCCUUAUUUUUAAAAUUACAAAAAAGGUAAUAAUCCACAAAUUGAAUUCUGAAAUUUGUUUCUGUUUUAAAACUUUUUAUUCUAUGGCAGUUAAAUUGUCACAAAAGUUUUACCCAGUUUAAAAUUAUUUGAAUUUAUUCUAACAAAAGUUGGGUCGACUAAAUCCCACUUAUAACAUAAUUCUUUUAGUAAUUUUAAAAAAUAAACUACCCAGUAAAAAAGAGUUUAGUAGUUCCAACGAUUCUUGAAUACAUGCAUCAAUAUUCACCCAACUUAGUGUAUGUUUGCGAUCAGUCUAACACUUCUUACUAUAAUUUCUACGUUCUACCUUUUUUUUGGACCAGAAAAUACUGUUUUAGGGAAGUCAUAUUUUGAAAACUUCUAAAUUAAAAGAAAACCCGCUCAGCAACAAUAUAAUAAACUAAUAUUUCCAUUAUAACAUUAUUAUUUGAAGUUAUUAAAUCAAUUUUAUUUUUCUUGUAAAUGUCAAAAUAUCAUCACCUAUUUAUUAUACUCAUCACUAACUAAUUUUACUUUCAAACUCUUCUUUGAAUAUUUCGACGUUGGCUCCACAUACUUUUGGAGUACAAAUAUUUCAGUAUAAGGUACGUAGAUACAUUCAUAGUUCAUAAUUGAGAAAUGAUAUUUUACACACAUAAAUAUUUUAUAUUUAUUUAUCUUAUUAUUUUUUAUUUUUUUAAAAUAUAAAAUUACUUUUUUAUGUUAUUUUUUUUAUAAUAUAUGUGAAAUAAAUAUAAAUGUACCUAUGCUUUUAAAGAUUUUAUCCCACACAAUGCUUUUUAGGCGUUGAGCUACCAGAUUUAUCGUAUCCUCAUACAGCUAUGUAAGUUUGACUUCUGAUAGAAUGACUGCAUUAACAAGUAAUAAUCCAGAGUUUAGCUAAAAACGUGUUAUCUCAAUAGGUACAGUGGUAAGAUUAACUCAAAAAAUUUAUUUUUUAAACUUGGAUAAACUUUGACCCGACUCCAACAUAAAUACUUUCUUUCCUUUUUUUAAUUGUAGUUUUUUUCUAAUAAAAACAUGUUUAUCUUUAUUUAUCAUUUUCUAAAUUUUAAGUAAAUAUGUAUUUUAAAUUAUAAUUUAAUUUAAUUGAUUUGAAAUAUAUAUAUAUAUAUAUAUAUAAUUAUGAUUAUCUUAAAAUAUAUUUAAGAUGUAAUUUGAUAACAUAAUUUUUUUAGUUCUUUUUAUUAUGUGUUAGAAAACUUGUGUAGGAUGCUUUAAAAUAUACUUAUAGCUAACAAUAACAAGAAUUAAAUCCAAUAAUUCAAAUUAAGUAGAGUAAUGAAUUAAUAUUUUUCUUUUUACAUAUUUUUCACCUUUCUUAUUUUUAUUUAAUAUAAAACUUAGAGUCGUAUUUGAAUAUAAAAAUCAUACCCUAUUUAUCUAAAUUGGACCAUGAAUGGGGUCAUAUUACUAAUAAAUUUUUCAAAAGAUAAAUUUAACAAAUAGACGUGCAUGAGCCAAUUCAGGAGAUUAUGUAAAGUUUGUUAUAUUGAUUUAGAGGGACUCAGUAUAAUUAAAUCUCCUGUACGAAUCAAUAGAUCUAUCAAACUAUAAAUGAUUCCAAAUUGUUGCAUUAUAUUUGUCAUUUUCUUGUUAUUUAUCGAAAUAUAACAAAAACAUUGAAAUGAAUCCCUCAAAAGCACAUAUAGGGUCAAACCCAUAAGAGAUUUUUCCAUAAUAAUAAUGGUAUAGCUCUUACAGACUAACGCAAUCCAGUACGAGUUCGCAGGCUACUUAACUCGUUUCCGAGUUAUUUUACGAAGCAUUUCCUAUAAAGUGCAGAUAUGACAGAAUAUAUGUUAACUCUUAGGAAACAAAAAAAAAAAUAAUGGAUCUUUAGAAACAAGAAAAAUAUACAAAAAAAAAAAAAAUAUUCAUUUGUUUACUUUUCUUGGAUUGAUUGAGUCGUAUAUUUCCCAAUUAUAAAAGCCUAAACUCAUACUAAAUUUUGAUCAUAGAGUCGUGUCCACUCGAACGAGAAAAACUGAUGAAAGAAGACACGCGCAUAUAGAUGAUGGUUUUCAGUCAAU
Molecule: long non-coding RNA, 2927 nt
Filed under: Vigna radiata
Lineage: Eukaryota; Viridiplantae; Streptophyta; Magnoliopsida; Fabales; Fabaceae
Description: long non-coding RNA (VRAD_LNC007134)
Source: RNAcentral